This 439-nucleotide ribosomal RNA is filed under the name uncultured bacterium. RNAcentral's name for it is "bacterial SSU rRNA". It matches the Rfam family "Bacterial small subunit ribosomal RNA", at positions 338 to 795 of the family's 1533-position model. The record is from RNAcentral.
CCUACGGGUUGCACCAGUGGGGAAUAUUGGACAAUGGGCGCAAGCCUGAUCCAGCAAUGCCGCGUGUGUGGAGAAGGCUUUCGGAUUGUAAAGCACUUUCAGCGGGGACGAUGAUGACGGUACCCGCAGAAGAAGCCCCGGCUAACUUCGUGCAGCAGCCGCGGUAAUACGAAGGGGGCUAGCGUUGCUCGGAAUGACUGGGCGUAAAGGGCGCGUAGGCGGUUUAUGCAGUCAGAUGUGAAAUCCCCGGGCUUAACCUGGGAACUGCAUUUGAGACGCAUAGACUAGAGGUCGAGAGAGGGUUGUGGAAUUCCCAUUGUAGAGGUGAAAUUCGUAGAUAUUGGGAAGAACACCGGUGGCGAAGGCGGCAACCUGGCUCGAUACUGACGCUGAGGCGCGAAAGCGUGGGGAGCAAACAGGAUUAGAUACCCUCGUAGUC